RNAcentral lists this ribosomal RNA (375 nucleotides) under uncultured organism. RNAcentral's name for it is "bacterial SSU rRNA". It matches the Rfam family "Bacterial small subunit ribosomal RNA", at positions 526 to 897 of the family's 1533-position model. The record is from RNAcentral.
CGUAGGGUGCGAGCGUUGUCCGGAAUUAUUGGGCGUAAAGAGCUCGUAGGCGGCUUGUCACGUCGGAUGUGAAAGCUCGGGGCUUAACCCCCGAGUCUGCAUUCGAUACGGGCUAGCUAGAGUGUGGUAGGGGAGAUCGGAAUUCCUGGUGUAGCGGUGAAAUGCGCAGAUAUCAGGAGGAACACCGGUGGCGAAGGCGGAUCUCUGGGCCAUUACUGACGCUGAGGAGCGAAAGCGUGGGGAGCGAACAGGAUUAGAUACCCUGGUAGUCCACGCCGUAAACGUUGGGAACUAGGUGUUGGCGACAUUCCACGUCGUCGGUGCCGCAGCUAACGCAUUAAGUUCCCCGCCUGGGGAGUACGGCCGCAAGGCUAA